Molecule: ribosomal RNA, 253 nt
Filed under: uncultured bacterium
Lineage: Bacteria
Description: partial 16S ribosomal RNA
Rfam family: Bacterial small subunit ribosomal RNA
Source: RNAcentral
UACGUAGGGGGCGAGCGUUGUCCGGAUUCAUUGGGCGUAAAGCGCGCGUGGGCGGCCCCGCAAGUCGGCCGUGAAAUCUCCGGGCUCAACUCGGAGGGGUCGGGCGAGACUGCGGGGCUGGAGGUGGGCAGAGGGCUGUGGAAUUCCGGGUGUAGUGGUGGAAUGCGUAGAGAUCCGGAGGAACACCAGUGGCGAAGGCGGCAGCCUGGGCCUGGCCUGACGCUGAGGCGCGAAAGCGUGGGGAGCGAUCCGG